UACGUAGGGUGCAAGCGUUGUCCGGAAUUAUUGGGCGUAAAGGGCUCGUAGGCGGUCUGUCGCGUCGAAAGUGAAAACUCAGGGCUUAACCCUGAGCCUGCUUCCGAUACGGGCAGACUAGAGGUAUGCAGGGGAGAACGGAAUUCCUGGUGUAGCGGUGAAAUGCGCAGAUAUCAGGAGGAACACCGGUGGCGAAGGCGGUUCUCUGGGCAUUACCUGACGCUGAGGAGCGAAAGUGUGGGGAGCGAACAGG
RNAcentral lists this ribosomal RNA (253 nucleotides) under uncultured bacterium. RNAcentral's name for it is "partial 16S ribosomal RNA". It matches the Rfam family "Bacterial small subunit ribosomal RNA", at positions 524 to 776 of the family's 1533-position model. The record is from RNAcentral.